Molecule: ribosomal RNA, 301 nt
Filed under: uncultured bacterium
Lineage: Bacteria
Description: partial 16S ribosomal RNA
Rfam family: Bacterial small subunit ribosomal RNA
Source: RNAcentral
CAGUCGCCGCGGUAACACGUAGGGUGCGAGCGUUAAUCAGAAUUACUGGGCGUAAAGCGUGCGCAGGCGGUUUUGUAAGACAGGCGUGAAAUCCCCGGGCUCAACCUGGGAAUGGCGCUUGUGACUGCAAAGCUAGAGUGCGGCAGAGGGGGAUGGAAUUCCGCGUGUAGCAGUGAAAUGCGUAGAUAUGCGGAGGAACACCGAUGGCGAAGGCAAUCCCCUGGGCCUGCACUGACGCUCAUGCACGAAAGCGUGGGGAGCAAACAGGAUUAGAUACCCGCGUAGUCCCUGUCUCUUAUAC